UCAGUCGACUCCUACGGGGAGGCAGCAGUGGGGGAAUAUUGCACAAUGGGCGCAAGCCUGAUGCAGCCAUGCCGCGUGUAUGAAGAAGGACCUUCGGGUUGUAAAGUACUUUCAGCAGUGAGGAAGGUGGGUAUGUUAAUAGCAUAUUCAUUUGACGUUAGCUGCAGAAGAAGCACCGGCUAACUCCGUGCCAGCAGCCGCGGUAAUACGGAGGGUGCGAGCGUUAAUCGGAAUUACUGGGCGUAAAGCGCAUGCAGGUGGUUUGUUAAGUCAGAUGUGAAAGCCCGGGGCUCAACCUCGGAAUUGCAUUUGAAACUGGCAAACUAGAGUACUGUAGAGGGGGGUAGGAAUUUCAGGUGUAGCGGUGAAAUGCGUAGAGAUCUGAAGGAAUACCGGUGGCGAAGGCGGCCCCCUGGACAGAUACUGACACUCAGAUGCGAAAGCGUGGGGAGCAAACAGGAUUAGAUACCCUGGUAG
Molecule: ribosomal RNA, 477 nt
Filed under: uncultured bacterium
Lineage: Bacteria
Description: bacterial SSU rRNA
Rfam family: Bacterial small subunit ribosomal RNA
Source: RNAcentral